AAUGGACGAAAGUCUGACGCAGCCAUGCCGCGUGCAGGAUGACGGCCCUAUGGGUUGUAAACUGCUUUUGUAUAGGAAGAAACUCAGCUACGUGUAGCUGACUGACGGUACUGUAUGAAUAAGCAUCGGCUAACUCCGUGCCAGCAGCCGCGGUAAUACGGAGGAUGCAAGCGUUAUCCGGAUUUAUUGGGUUUAAAGGGUGCGUAGGCGGGGAUUUAAGUCAGUGGUGAAAUACUGCAGCUUAACUGUAGCACUGCCAUUGAUACUGAAUUUCUUGAGUGCGGUUGAAGUAGGCGGAAUGUGUAAUGUAGCGGUGAAAUGCUUAGAGAUUACACAGAACACCGAUUGCGUAGGCAGCUUACUAAGCCGUAACUGACGCUGAGGCACGAAAGUGUGGGGAUCGAA
RNAcentral lists this ribosomal RNA (405 nucleotides) under uncultured bacterium. RNAcentral describes it as "bacterial SSU rRNA". It matches the Rfam family "Bacterial small subunit ribosomal RNA", at positions 370 to 772 of the family's 1533-position model. The record is from RNAcentral.